GUGUCCUACGGGGGGCAGCAGUCGGGAAUAUUGCGCAAUGGAGGAAACUCUGACGCAGUGACGCCGCGUAUGGGAAGAAGGUUUUCGGAUUGUAAACCAUUGUCGUUAGGGAAGAAGAAGUGACAGUACCUAAGGAGGAAGCUCCGGCUAACUAUGUGCCAGCAGCCGCGGUAAUACAUAGGGAGCGAGCGUUAUCCGGAUUUACUGGGUGUAAAGGGCGAGUAGACGGCGUUGCAAGUCAGAUGUGAAAGGCUAG
Molecule: ribosomal RNA, 256 nt
Filed under: uncultured bacterium
Lineage: Bacteria
Description: partial 16S ribosomal RNA
Rfam family: Bacterial small subunit ribosomal RNA
Source: RNAcentral